UUCAAGCUUUGCGAAAAAUUCCCUUUUAGCAACAUUCAUUUGAACGUUGCUAAAAGGAAAACUUAAAUCACCCAACCCAAACCAAAAAGAAGAACUCCUCAAAAUGAUCUUCAGCCCUAGUUUUUCCUUCUCUGCUCGUCUCUGCCUCUCAUUUUUGGACAGUAAUUCAAAAUGCCACAGCAAGAGGCGAAAGAAAAUGGGGAAAUACAAUCAAUACCGCAUAAAUCUUAAGCCCUCCGACAUGAGGCCGCUUGUGUUGCCAAACGAAAUUUCAAUUUUGGCGACUAUUCAGUGAGAUCACUGAAGGAGGAACUGCAGCUUCUUCAGGAGCAUGGAUCAUAUGUUGGGAAAGUUGUCAAAGUUAUGGGAAAAUCAAAGGUCCUUGUCAAGAUUCGAAACUUGUUAUCAGAUUGCUUUGGCCAUAAAGGACGGAGUGGAGGAUAUUCAAAAGGCGGGCAUUACUGUUAUUUGAAACCUGUUACCAUUUCUUUUGGUUUUUUUUUUGUUUUUUUUUUGUUUUUUGUUUUUUGUUUUUUGUUUUUUGUUUUUUAUUUUUUUUGUUUUUUAUUUUUUUUGGGAAAUCUAUUGGUUUUUAGGCGCUUCAAAAUUUUGGAUCUAAAUUUUGUAUGCAUAUUUUGUCACAUUUUGGAAUACAAUUAUUAAUGACUAUUGGAGUUCUUUGAUA
Long non-coding RNA from Olea europaea var. sylvestris, 685 nucleotides. RefSeq lists it as uncharacterized. The transcript has 3 exons. NCBI's taxonomy places the organism in Eukaryota, Viridiplantae, Streptophyta, Magnoliopsida, Lamiales, Oleaceae. The record is from RefSeq and is a predicted model, not a curated record.